GAGUAUCGAAAAACUGUUCGGGUGAGUACCGAAAAAUGGUCCAAUCAGUGUGAGUAUCGAAAAAUGGUCGAAUCCGUGCGAGUACCGGGAAAAGGUAGAAUUCGUGCGAGUAUCGAAAAACUGUUCGGGUGAGUACCGAAAAAUGGUCCAAUCAGUGUGAGUACCGAAAAAUGGUCGAAUCCGUACGAGUACCGGGAAAAGGUAGAAUCCGUGCGAGUAUCGAAAAACUGUUCGGGUGACUACCGGAAAAGGGUCCAAUCAAUGUGAGUACCGAAAAAUGGCCGAAUAUGUGCGUGUACCGGGAAAAGGUAGACUCCGUGCGAGUAUCGAAAAACUGUUCGGGUCAUUACCGGAAAAGGGUCCAAUCAAUGUGAGUACCAAAAAAUGGUCGAAUCCGUGCGAGUACCGGAAAAAUGUAGAAUCCCUACGAGUAUCGAAAAACUCUUCGGAUAAAUACCGGAAAAUGGUCCAAUCAGUGUUAGUACCGAAAAAUGGUAGAAUCCGGGCGAGUAUUUGUCAAAGGUAGAAUCCGUGCGAGUAUCGUAAGACUGUUCGGGUGAGUACCGAAAAAUGGUAGAAUCAGAGCGAUUACCGCGAAAAGGUAGAAUUCGUGCGAGUAUCGAAAAAUGAUAGUAUCCGGGCAAGUAUUGUGAAAAGGUAGAAUCCGUGCGAGUAUCGAAAAACUGUUCGGGUGAGUACCGAAAAAUGGUCCAAUCAGUGUGAGUACCGAAAAAUGGUCGAAUCCGUGCGAGUACCGGGAAAAGGUAGAUUCCGUGCGAGAAUCGAAAAACUGUUCGGGUGACUACCGGAAAUGGGUCCAAUCAAUGUGAGUACCGAAAAAUGGUAGAAUCCGGG
Molecule: long non-coding RNA, 855 nt
Filed under: Vitis vinifera (wine grape)
Lineage: Eukaryota; Viridiplantae; Streptophyta; Magnoliopsida; Vitales; Vitaceae
Description: long non-coding RNA (VVIN_LNC007843)
Source: RNAcentral